This 1223-nucleotide long non-coding RNA is filed under the name Homo sapiens (human). Its description in RNAcentral is "lncAB527.1". Lineage: Eukaryota; Metazoa; Chordata; Mammalia; Primates; Hominidae. The record is from RNAcentral.
AGUCGCCCUCCGUCGUGGCCUGGCGUGGAUUCCGAGCGUUGGUGUCUGGCGGUUUCCGACCGUUGGUGUCUGGCACGCGCCACCCCGAUGUACCAGACAAGAAGACAAGAAAAUGAUUUGAGGACAGCUUCAAUCGCGGUGUGAAGAAGAAAGCAACAAAACGACCACUGAAAACAAUGCCGGUGGCAAAACAUCCAAAGAAAGGGUCCCAAGUGGUACAUCGUCAUAGCUGGAAACAGUCAGAGCCACCAGCCAAUGAUCUUUUCAAUGCUGCGAAAGCUGCCAAAAGUGACAUGCAGUGUGGCCAUGAGGUCUGCCGGAAGUGACUUGUUGGUGUUAUCUCCUGAGUUAAAAUGUGAAGGGAUUUUUUUUUUUCAGAUUACUGAGAGUCUUCAGUUACUAGUUUGUCUUUCCUAGAUCCAGACACGGGGACUGCAGAGAAAGGCUGUGUGCAUCCGCUGUCUACUCCACUGUCUCCUCUGCAGAGGCGGAUUUCCCUGACUGAAGACCAUGUUGCAGGCCCACAGCUGCCUACAGAACCGUCCCAAAAUAUGGCAAAGAAACCUAUUCUGAGCGAUAGGGUCUCACCAUGUUGCCCAGGCUGGUCUUGAACUCCUGGACUCAUCCUAAAGUGCUGGCCUCUCAUUCCCUGUCUGUGCACACCUCACGGCAAGGGCCAGCCUGUUUCCUCCCGGUCACCUCCAAAUCUUGCUGCUUUUAAUUCAACUCAGAGGUAUGCACUUGAGGUAGGAGGGCAGGGGAAGUGGGGAUGGCAGGACAUGGAUGGCCCUUGAGGCAUUGGCUCUGGGUGUCAUGGGCUGUGAGAGUCAAGAAGGGCAGUGGCCUGCCUGACUUGGGUUCGAAAGGGUCACUCUGGCCACUGCGGUGAGAACUGAAACUAGCCAGGCCAAUUCUCCAUUGUUCCUGCUCUUCCAGGUAGGAGAAUAUUAGAUUAGGUCUGGAGUCAGAAGGUAGCAGGGGCUGGGGGUUGCAGGGGGAUGUUGAGAAGAAGUGGUCCUUUGGUCAGGGUGGGAAGCCAACAGGAUUUCCUGGUGCAUUGGAGGUGAAAGGGAAGAGGCGCUGGUGGUUGUGCUUUGGGCCUGAGCAGCCAGAAGCCGUUGCCAUCACCUAUGACAAGGGAGACAGCGCCUGGGGCAGAGCCCAGUAUGGGGUGCAUUCAGGGUAGAUCAGGAGGUAUGAGUGGGCAGUGGGCGAGCCAGGCU